Molecule: small nuclear RNA, 98 nt
Organism: Impatiens glandulifera
Lineage: Eukaryota; Viridiplantae; Streptophyta; Magnoliopsida; Ericales; Balsaminaceae
Source: RefSeq, a predicted model, not a curated record
GUCCCUUCGGGGACAUCCGAUAAAAUUGGAACGAUACAGAGAAGAUUAGCAUGGCUCCUGCGCAAGGAUGAUAUGCACAAAAAAACUAGUAGAUUACU